CCUACGGGAGGCAGCAGUGGGGAAUAUUGCACAAUGGGGGAAACCCUGAUGCAGCGACGCCGCGUGAAGGAAGAAGUAUUUCGGUAUGUAAACUUCUAUCAGCAGGGAAGAAAAUGACGGUACCUGACUAAGAAGCCCCGGCUAACUACGUGCCAGCAGCCGCGGUAAUACGUAGGGGGCAAGCGUUAUCCGGAUUUACUGGGUGUAAAGGGAGCGUAGGCGGUUUAGCAAGUCAGAAGUGAAAGCCCGGGGCUCAACUCCGGGACUGCUUUUGAAACUGCAUCCCUUGAGUGCGCGAGAAGUAUGCGGAAUGCGUGGUGUAGCGGUGAAAUGCAUAGAUAUCACGCAGAACUCCGAUUGCGAAGGCAGCAUACCGGCGCGCAACUGACGCUCAUGCACGAAAGCGUGGGGAUCAAACAGGAUUAGAUACCCUUGUAGUC
Molecule: ribosomal RNA, 440 nt
Filed under: uncultured bacterium
Lineage: Bacteria
Description: partial 16S ribosomal RNA
Rfam family: Bacterial small subunit ribosomal RNA
Source: RNAcentral